UGCCAAAGGAGAGCUGUCCUG
This 21-nucleotide microRNA is filed under the name Zea mays. Its description in RNAcentral is "zma-miR399b-3p". Its record names the gene zma-miR399b-3p. Lineage: Eukaryota; Viridiplantae; Streptophyta; Magnoliopsida; Poales; Poaceae. The record is from miRBase by way of RNAcentral.